CCUACGGGAGGCAGCAGUAGGGAAUAUUGCUCAAUGGGGGAAACCCUGAAGCAGCAACGCCGCGUGGAGGAUGAAGGUUUUAGGAUUGUAAACCGCUUUUGUGAGAGAAGAUAAUGACGGUAACCAAGGAGAAAGCUCCGGCUAACUACGUGCCAGCAGCCGCGGUAAUACGUAGGGAGCAAGCGUUGUCCGGAUUUACUGGGUGUAAAGGGUGCGUAGGCGGUCUUGCAAGUCAGACGUGAAAGCCACAGGCUCAACCUGUGGACUGCGUUUGAAACUGUGGGGCUUGAGUGAAGUAGAGGUAGGCGGAAUUCCCGGUGUAGCGGUGAAAUGCGUAGAGAUCGGGAGGAACACCAGUGGCGAAGGCGGCCUACUGGGCUUUAACUGACGCUGAGGCACGAAAGCAUGGGUAGCAAACAGGAUUAGAUACCCCGGUAGUC
This 440-nucleotide ribosomal RNA is filed under the name uncultured bacterium. RNAcentral's name for it is "partial 16S ribosomal RNA". It matches the Rfam family "Bacterial small subunit ribosomal RNA", at positions 338 to 795 of the family's 1533-position model. The record is from RNAcentral.